This 466-nucleotide long non-coding RNA is filed under the name Vigna radiata. Its description in RNAcentral is "long non-coding RNA (VRAD_LNC016649)". The record is from RNAcentral. Lineage: Eukaryota; Viridiplantae; Streptophyta; Magnoliopsida; Fabales; Fabaceae.
AAGGUGGGAAAGUAGAUGGCACCAUAGUAAGCUCAUGACUCUACUCCCCAUCUCCUAUGUGGAUGACACUGACAUCAUCAAGAAUUGGAACAGUCUGCAAUGGUGAUCCCUCUAAAAAUUGAGACUGUUCCUCGGUGCACUGCGCGACUAUCUGCCUCCACAACUCAUUCAAUGUAGGCUCGGAAGAAGUAGAAGAUUUGGCAGGUGCCUUUUGCUGUUGUUGUUGCUUCUGAUUUUUCUGUUGUGGCUGCCUGUUAUUGUAGAAGUAGGUAGCAUAAGCUUGAGGCUCAUCAUGAGAAACAGGGUGCUCCAAAGAAGGACAUGCAUCUGUAUAGUGGUCACUAGAAGGACAUAUAGCACACAGCCGUGCAACAGAUGCAGAUGGAGGUGUUGGUCUCUGGUUGGAUGUCAGCUGUGUCACAAAACUUUCAAGAGAAUCAAGUUUGCUUUCCAAUUUCCUACCAAC